Molecule: transfer RNA, 85 nt
Filed under: Treponema rectale
Lineage: Bacteria; Pseudomonadati; Spirochaetota; Spirochaetia; Treponematales; Treponemataceae
Also listed under: 2 other names
Description: tRNA-Leu
Rfam family: tRNA
About the family: Transfer RNA (tRNA) molecules are approximately 80 nucleotides in length.
Source: RNAcentral
GCGGCCGUGGUGAAACUGGUAGACACGUGGGACUUAGGAUCCCAUGGAGCAAUCUGUGCAGGUUCAAGUCCUGUCGGCCGCACCA